CCAUGAGACAACAAAUGCGGGUUGCUUAAGCAGCUAAAUCCAUGGUAAUUAGGAAUACAGCAACCCAAAACAAACAUAAUGUCUGUGACUUGUUUUAAAAUAAGCCAGCAAAAAAUGUGGGGGAAAGGCAAAGCAAACGUGACAAAAUCUGGUUAAUACUUGAAUCUGAGUGAUGAGUAGUUCGCUAUUAUAUUCUGCCUACUUCUCUGAAAAUGAAAAAUUUUAAAGGAUCCUCAUCAGGCUGUCAUCUCCUUAGGUCAAGGGCAAUGACGAUUCCAUUCAUCACUGUGUCUCUGGCAACUAUCGUCGGCACCUGGCACGCCGUGGACCAAUGACUGUUAGAUCAGCUCACUGACAGGAUGCUGUGUUACAGCUUAUGAACUCACAACAUCCUCUUGCACUUGGCAUGACUAACACCAUUUUACAGAUGGGAAAAUGAAUGUUGCUGCUAACAUUUGACAUCAAUCGCCAAAUCACAUGUUGUCACAUCAUUACUCAGCUCCGUGACAAAGGCAGAGGAAAGAGACUGCGGCUGCAAUGGGGCUGUUGGGCGAGGAACCCAUUCGGGGGCCCUGGCGAGGAUGGAAUAGGGAACAGAAUGAAAUCUGGCUAAAGACGCUCUGCAUGAUGGGUCAUGUUGAGGAGGAAACAGAAUAAGAACCUGAUGCCUUAUCA
Molecule: long non-coding RNA, 675 nt
Organism: Felis catus (domestic cat)
Lineage: Eukaryota; Metazoa; Chordata; Mammalia; Carnivora; Felidae
Exons: 2
Source: RefSeq, a predicted model, not a curated record